Molecule: unclassified non-coding RNA, 160 nt
Filed under: soil metagenome
Description: partial internal transcribed spacer 1
Source: RNAcentral
CUGAGUUCAUGCCCUUACGGGUAGAUCUCCCACCCUUGAAUAUCUAAAACCUUUGUUGCUUUGGCGGGCCGCUUCGGCUACCGGCUCCGGCUGGUGAGUGCCCGCCAGAGAACCUUAAACUCUGAAUUACAGUGUCGUCUGAGUACUAUAAAAUAGUUAA